GAGUUUGAUCAUGGCUCAGGAUGAACGCUGGCGGCGUGCCUAAUACAUGCAAGUCGAGCGGAGAAUUUAGCAAUAGAUUCUUAGCGGCGAACGGGUGAGUAACGCGUUGGUGACCUGCCUCGAAGUUUGGGAUAACAGUUCGAAAGGACUGCUAAUACCGGAUGUGAUCGCGGAGAUUAGAGGCUCUGUGAUUAAAGGAGAAAUUCGCUUCGAGAGGGGCCUGCGUCCCAUCAGCUAGUUGGUAAGGUAAAGGCUUACCAAGGCGAUGACGGGUAGGGGACCUGAGAGGGUGGCCCCCCACAAUGGAACUGAAACACGGUCCAUACACCUACGGGUGGCAGCAGUAGGGAAUAUUGCAUAAUGGGCGAAAGCCUGAUGCAGCAACGCCGCGUGUGCGAUGAAGGCCUUCGGGUCGUAAAGCACUUUUGGAGGGGAUGAGGAAGGACAGUACCCUUCGAAUAAGCUUCGGCUAACUACGUG
Molecule: ribosomal RNA, 480 nt
Filed under: uncultured bacterium
Lineage: Bacteria
Description: bacterial SSU rRNA
Rfam family: Bacterial small subunit ribosomal RNA
Source: RNAcentral